Molecule: long non-coding RNA, 280 nt
Filed under: Amborella trichopoda
Lineage: Eukaryota; Viridiplantae; Streptophyta; Magnoliopsida; Amborellales; Amborellaceae
Description: long non-coding RNA (ATRI_LNC004396)
Source: RNAcentral
UUUUGGGUUACAAGGGAUAGCUCUCUCUAACCAUUGGCAAAACCUAACUGAUUUUCUUCUAAAGCCUCUAUCUUGCCUGACCAACUCUGUCAAUCACUUCCAUCAUUCUCACUGCUAUAGCACAACCACAAAGACAACCUUGAGAACAACCAUGAGAAUUUCUAUGCAAAUAGAAAGUGAUACAACCUAAAAUCCUGUGGGAAAAUCGUUUCUCUCUGAGAGGGCAUGUCUCUUCCCUGGAACCCAUCUCACUUGGAAAUCCCUAGCCAUCACAAAGGUG